This 460-nucleotide ribosomal RNA is filed under the name uncultured bacterium. RNAcentral's name for it is "partial 16S ribosomal RNA". It matches the Rfam family "Bacterial small subunit ribosomal RNA", at positions 338 to 795 of the family's 1533-position model. The record is from RNAcentral.
CCUACGGGUGACAGCAGUGAGGAAUAUUGGUCAAUGGACGGAAGUCUGAACCAGCCAUGCCGCGUGCAGGAAGACGGCUCUAUGAGUUGUAAACUGCUUUUGUACAAGGGUAAACCUGAAUACGUGUAUUCAGCUGAAAGUACUGUACGAAUAAGGAUCGGCUAACUCCGUGCCAGCAGCCGCGGUAAUACGGAGGAUCCAAGCGUUAUCCGGAUUUAUUGGGUUUAACGGGUGCGUAGGCGGAUUGAUAAGUUAGAGGUGAAAUGUCCGAGCUUAACUCGGGAACUGCCUCUAAUACUGUUGAUCUAGAGAGUAGAUGCGGUAGGCGGAAUGUAUGGUGUAGCGGUGAAAGGCUUAGAGAUCAGACAGAACACCGAUUGCGAAGGCAGCUUACCAAUCUAUAUCUGACGUUGAGGCACGAAAGCGUGGGGAGCAAACAGGAUUAGAUACCCCAGUAGUC